CCUACGGGAGGCAGCAGUAGGGAAUCUUCCACAAUGGGCGAAAGCCUGAUGGAGCAACGCCGCGUGGGUGAAGAAGGUCUUCGGAUCGUAAAACCCUGUUGUUAGAGAAGAAAGUGCGUGAGAGUAACUGUUCACGUUUCGACGGUAUCUAACCAGAAAGCCACGGCUAACUACGUGCCAGCAGCCGCGGUAAUACGUAGGUGGCAAGCGUUGUCCGGAAUGAUUGGGCGUAAGGGGAACGCAGGCGGUCUUUUAAGUCUGAUGUGAAAGCCUUCGGCUUAACCGGAGUAGUGCAUUGGAAACUGGGAGACUUGAGUGCAGAAGAGGAGAGUGGAACUCCAUGUGUAGCGGUGAAAUGCGUAGAUAUAUGGAAGAACACCAGUGGCGAAAGCGGCUCUCUGGUCUGUAACUGACGCUGAGGUUCGAAAGCGUGGGUAGCAAACAGGAUUAGAUACCCUUGUAGUC
RNAcentral lists this ribosomal RNA (465 nucleotides) under uncultured bacterium. RNAcentral describes it as "partial 16S ribosomal RNA". It matches the Rfam family "Bacterial small subunit ribosomal RNA", at positions 338 to 795 of the family's 1533-position model. The record is from RNAcentral.